UACGAAGGGGGCUAGCGUUGCUCGGAAUCACUGGGCGUAAAGGGCUCGUAGGCGGCCAACUAAGUCGGACGUGAAAUCCCUCGGCUCAACCGGGGAACUGCGUCCGAUACUGGAUGGCUUGAAUCCGGGAGAGGGAUGCGGAAUUCCAGGUGUAGCGGUGAAAUGCGUAGAUAUCUGGAGGAACACCGGUGGCGAAGGCGGCAUCCUGGACCGGCAUUGACGCUGAGGAGCGAAAGCCAGGGGAGCAAACGGG
RNAcentral lists this ribosomal RNA (253 nucleotides) under uncultured bacterium. Its description in RNAcentral is "partial 16S ribosomal RNA". It matches the Rfam family "Bacterial small subunit ribosomal RNA", at positions 524 to 776 of the family's 1533-position model. The record is from RNAcentral.